UAGGGAAUCUUCCACAAUGGACGCAAGUCUGAUGGAGCAACGCCGCGUGAGUGAAGAAGGUUUUCGGACCGUAAAGCUCUGUUGUUGGUGAAGAAGGAUAGAGGUAGUAACUGGCCUUUAUUUGACGGUAAUCAACCAGAAAGUCACGGCUAACUACGUGCCAGCAGCCGCGGUAAUACGUAGGUGGCAAGCGUUGUCCGGAUUUAUUGGGCGUAAAGCGAGCGCAGGCGGAAGAAUAAGUCUGAUGUGAAAGCCCUCGGCUUAACCGAGGAAUUGCAUCGGAAACUGUUUUCUUGAGUGCAGAAGGGGAGAGUAGAACUCCAUGUGUAGCGGUGGAAUGCGUAGAUAUAUGGAAGAAUACCCAGUGGCGAAGGCGGCUCUCUGGUCUGCAACUGACGCUGAGGCUCGAAAGCAUGGGUAGCGAACAGGAUUAGAUACCCCUGGUAGUCC
RNAcentral lists this ribosomal RNA (450 nucleotides) under uncultured bacterium. RNAcentral's name for it is "partial 16S ribosomal RNA". It matches the Rfam family "Bacterial small subunit ribosomal RNA", at positions 355 to 796 of the family's 1533-position model. The record is from RNAcentral.